CCUACGGGAGGCAGCAGUGAGGAAUAUUGGUCAAUGGGCGCGAGCCUGAACCAGCCAAGUAGCGUGAAGGAUGACUGCCCUACGGGUUGUAAACUUCUUUUAUAAAGGAAUAAAGUGAGGCACGUGUGCCUUUUUGUAUGUACUUUAUGAAUACGGAUCGGCUAACUCCGUGCCAGCAGCCGCGGUAAUACUGAGGAUCCGAGCGUUAUCCGGAUUUAUUGGGUUUAAAGUGAGCGUAGAUGGGUUGUUAAGUCAGUUGUGAAAGGUUGCGGCUCAACCGUAAAAUUGCAAUUGAUACUGGCAGCCGUGAGGACAGGUGAGGUAGGCGGAAUUCGUGGGCUAGCGGUGAAAUGCGUAGAUAUAACGAAGAACUCCGAUUGCGAAGGCAGCUUACUAAACUGCCACUGACAUUGAGGCUCGAAAGUGUGGGUAUCAAACAGGAUUAGAUACCCCUGUAGUC
This 460-nucleotide ribosomal RNA is filed under the name uncultured bacterium. RNAcentral describes it as "partial 16S ribosomal RNA". It matches the Rfam family "Bacterial small subunit ribosomal RNA", at positions 338 to 795 of the family's 1533-position model. The record is from RNAcentral.